Molecule: long non-coding RNA, 947 nt
Organism: Brassica napus (rape)
Lineage: Eukaryota; Viridiplantae; Streptophyta; Magnoliopsida; Brassicales; Brassicaceae
Exons: 2
Source: RefSeq, a predicted model, not a curated record
UUGGCUCGAAUCAGCCUCUCACGAUUCAAACUGUCGCAGUUCAAUCCUCUCCCUGUCUAUCUCUCUCAGCCAUGAUGAAAGCUUCGUCGACAACGCUACUCGAGUCAGAUUUGAGCUACAAACAGAGAUGGCGGAGGAGGAGAAGAGGUUUCGAUGGUUAAGUUCCGUAAUCUGCUGAUUUUGUCUUUGUUUGUGUCGUUUCAAACUCAGUUCCAGGUUAGUUGUUUCGUUUCUCUGUUCUGAACGAUGCAAUAACAUUGAUUCAUCAGGAACACAUGAUUAGUAAGUUAAAGUUGUAAGCUUUGACUUGAUUCUUAAUAAACUAAAUGGAUUUUCAUAGGUUUUCUCACCUUGUGAUCACCAAUCUAUCUACAUUCUUGGGCUUAUUUUGUUUGUUUACUGCUGUUUUCAGUUACUUGGAGCCUCUUGCAGUUGCUCUAGAUAAAGAGAAGUGGAGCAUGUGUGUUUACUCAAAGUGAAACAGAGUUUGAUGGAGAUUGCUGAGUUCGAUAUGGCUUCUCCUUUUUUCUUUCUCUCUCGCAGGAUUGGUUCUCUUCAUGUUUUUACUAAUGUCUCGGACGGUUAUGAAUCAAGCUCUGCUCAAGAAAGCUACUCUGAGACAAGUUCAGGUAAACUAUCAAAGGGAGAAGAACACGAGGCAGAGGAGCUCGUGAAAAUUUAAAUGGUGAAGCUCAUUAUUGAGGAUGAUGGUCCGUAUGAGCUGAUCUGAGUUUUGAUGUUGAAGAAGAUGAGAAGCUUGGUUGCAGAAGAUGACAUGGGAGCAGAGAUUAGAGUUUGAGAUUGAAUGUUAACAUAUGCAACUCUUGAGAUGUUGAAUGUAGAGUUAGCCAUAAAAAAAUGUACUUAGAAAUAUUGUCAUACUAGUUAUCUCAAAUCCUUGAAUGUUUUGGAUUUUUAAUGAAAAACAUAUGGUAUUUUAUUAUUUA